GGCGGCCGCUGGCACCCGGCCACGCGGCUCACCGGCGCGCGCUCCCCGGCUCAGGAGGCUUCAUCCAACCCUGCGUCCAGCCAGCGUGUAGAGGUUGACUGGGGAACCGAACGGGCAGUUUCACACAUGGAUCCUGCUCGCCUGAGCACCGGCACUGCUCCGUCACCAAGCCUGCCCGCCCUCGUGGCCCCUGUCCCUCUCUGUAGCCCUUCCAGACUCACGGGGCACCUGACAUCCCAGGGGAGACGCCAUCAGCGAUGCAGACACUGAGUGUGCGGAUGUGGUCGGCCACCACACGCAGAAGAAACCAAGGCUCAGAGGAACUGAGUGAGACAAGGCCGUGCAACUCAUCAGGAAAUCUGUGAUGACAGCCAGGGGUCCCCAACCCAUGGGCCGCUGACGGCCUGUCAGGAACCAGGCCACGUAGCAGGAGGUGCGCGGCAGGCCCAGCGGCAGGUGAACAGGCAAAGCCUUAUCUCAUUUACAGCCAGCGUUGAUCACUCGCAUUACUGCCUAAGCUCCACCUCCUUUCAGAACAGGCAGGCGCUGGAUUCUCACAGGAGCUUGACCCCUCCUGAUGUACAAUUAUUUCAUCAUACAGUACAGUGUAGUAAUAAUAGAAAUAAAGUGUACGAUAAAUGUAACAAAUCAUCCUGAACCCUCCCCACCAUCUGUGGAAAAAUUUCUUCCAUGAAAUUGGUCCCUGGUGCCAAGAAGGUUGGGGACUGCUGCUCUGCACGAUCUGUUCCUCCUCUACUGUCUUUACGGGGGCAGGGAAGGAGGUGUGAGCAGAGCAGAGCUGGGCUGUUUAGCUCCAAACCUGUCUCCUCCACAAGUAUCCCUAUCUCAAUGAACAGUGCUGUCAUUCCCGUGUCACUCAGAUUGAUAACCUGGGAGCCACUCCUGACGUCUCCCCCACUUCCAGCUACCCAUCAGGGGGUCCUUCUGCUUCCCCCACUAAGAGAUCUCUCAAACCAAACCACUUCUCUACUUCCUCUGCUACCAGCCUAACCCACACCCUACGGUCUCUUGCCUGGACUUAUAAUAGCCUCUUAGUUGGUUUCUCAGGUACUCUUGUCUCCUUCCACACCAUCCUCCAAAUAGCAAUAGGAGUGGCCUUUCAGAGGGCCAGCACACGGUGUGGUGGUGGGCUAAGGUGCUGGAUCCCACAUGGCUGACU
Long non-coding RNA from Tupaia belangeri chinensis (Chinese tree shrew), 1180 nucleotides. RefSeq lists it as uncharacterized. The record is from RefSeq and is a predicted model, not a curated record. The transcript has 4 exons. Lineage: Eukaryota; Metazoa; Chordata; Mammalia; Scandentia; Tupaiidae.